GGUUCGUCUCCGCCAUUUUGGCACGUGUGCAAGAAAACAAUGAAAAAAAUUGAGUUUAACAGGAGGUAGAAUAUGGAGACGUUGUGUGUGCGUUUGUUGACAAACUCAGAAGAUCUCCGUUUGAAGAUGGGAUUUUAACAGAAAACCAAGUGGUUCAUAGCCUUUACAAUCAGCUUGGAGAAGUGACCAGGUAAGCAAAGUGAUUAAUAACUACUUAUUAACCAAGAGUGAGGUCUUUAAGGGAAAAUCUCAAACCAAGACCUUGCCAUAUUGACCAAGCAAUAAGGUUCAUACGGCAAGGGUGAGGUUUGAAAUUCCUCGCGUAAAGACCAAACGUUCGAGCUUAAUAAGUUGAU
Molecule: long non-coding RNA, 356 nt
Organism: Orbicella faveolata
Lineage: Eukaryota; Metazoa; Cnidaria; Anthozoa; Scleractinia; Merulinidae
Source: RefSeq, a predicted model, not a curated record